CCUACGGGUGGCAGCAGUGGGGAAUAUUGGGCAAUGGGCGCAAGCCUGACCCAGCAACGCCGCGUGAAGGAAGAAGGCUUUCGGGUUGUAAACUUCUUUUCUCAGGGACGAAGCAUGUUACGGUAUCUGAUGACUAAGCCACGGCUAACUUCGUGCCCGCAUCCGCGUUUGUACGUAGGUGGCAACCGUUAUCCGGUUUUACUGGGUGUAAGGGGCGUGUAGGCGGGACUGCAAGUCAGAUGUGAAAACCACGGGCUCAACCUGUGGCCUGCAUUUGAAACUGUAGUUCUUGAGUACGGGAGAGGCAGGAGGAAUGCCUGGUGUAGCGGUGAAAUGCAUAGAUAUUA
This 347-nucleotide ribosomal RNA is filed under the name uncultured bacterium. RNAcentral's name for it is "partial 16S ribosomal RNA". It matches the Rfam family "Bacterial small subunit ribosomal RNA", at positions 338 to 699 of the family's 1533-position model. The record is from RNAcentral.